Molecule: long non-coding RNA, 19312 nt
Filed under: Sorghum bicolor (sorghum)
Lineage: Eukaryota; Viridiplantae; Streptophyta; Magnoliopsida; Poales; Poaceae
Description: long non-coding RNA (SBIC_LNC006403)
Source: RNAcentral
CCUCAUGACAAGCUCUCACAUGGAAAUGAUGAAUAGUUGCUCUGCCAUGAUUAGUACUCAAAAUUGAAAUCUCUCUCAAGUUUAGGCAUGACUGUUAUUAAUUAAGAUUUGCUCUAAACCUGAACUUGUGGGAAGAGUACUUGAUCUAAAGUCUAAGUCGUUAACGGAUAUGAUAUGGGAAGGUUGAGCUGCUGUUUAUCUGUUCCUAGAGAUGCUAGAAUUCUGGAAGAAUUUAUCUUUGAAAAUCUUUAAAAUAUCACAUGAUGAGUUCUUGUAUGAUGAGAGUUUAAAUUCCUACCACAGCCAUAUAUACAUGCUUGCUAGACUUUGAGCCACACAUUUACUUUUUACUGCUUAUGAGCAUUGAGUGUGGUCAAGCUGUGUAGACCCUUAGGAGCUUGUCAUGUGGUUAAAUCAAGAUUCACUUGCACGUUCACUCACACAUGCUGCUUCUACUCUGGAAGUACGCAUCCACAUAUAUCCACCCAUUUCCAUCUCCAGAACCACCGAAAAAUAUUCUACUUCUAAUCCGGGAGAGAAUAGCCAAAAACAUUCUCCUGUUCCUAUUUUUUUUUCAUGUGAAAUAAAUGCUCAAGUUAUCUUGGUCACUACCACUUGCUAUAUUAUUUCGAGAGAUGAGUGCUCUAAAAAAAGAGAAAAAAAGAUACGAGGAAAUAAAAAGGGGCAAGUGCCCGGAACCUCGAAAGAAAAGGAAAGAGUGAGACGAGAGGUAAAAAUGGACAAGUGUCCGACAGUAGAAUUAGGGGUACAAGAUACCCACCUUAGAGAAAAGAAAAAGAAAAUAUAGAGCAUCUCAUUCCCCUCAAAAGUCUCAAGUGCAAGGAAGGUAUGUACCCCCUCAAAAGAGCAAAAGUAGAAUUAGACUUUCACCAUUAUUUUCACCAUUAUCACCAUUCAUUCGCCACACAUGCACAUCUUGAUUUGACUUAUUGACUUGUUCUUCUCGAUCCAUGGUUUGACUAUGCAAUAAAUGUCUUGUAAGUAUGUAUAUUUUAUCUCCCACCUAUGAGCUCCAGAUAUUAAAGCCUUAUUAGAAUAGGGUAAGAGAGAAGGCAAUGUCACUAUGCCUUAUACAACAAAUACCACAUAUUUUGAGAGAAGGCAUAUACCAUCACUGACUUGGUAAGGAUCUAGAAAUAACACAAAAGAGAGAUCUGAGAGUGUCAUACAAGGAAUCUCUGAGUUUUAUUUGAAAAUCUGCAAAAACUCCAGAGCUAUAGCUGAUCAAGAAUAAGAGACAUGGCACUUGACUAGACCGUUCUAUCUUUUAACUGCUCAAGACAGAAGUGACGGUUACAAGCCCCAUGGUGGAAGGUAAAAUGAGUAAGUUUAAAUCUUAACAGUUUACCCUAACCCAGAGAUGAGAUCUUAUUUGAACGCAUGUGUACCUUUAAGAUAUGAAACCACUGCAGAAACUCUUGAGUUCAUCUUUGCUCAGGGACGAGCAAAGAGUAAGCUUGGGGGAGCUUGUUGACGGUCCUGAAUGCUCACAUUUAACCAUAAACUAAUCAUGGAAAAGGAUCCAAAUGCAACUCACCUAGACUUAGGGUUUUAUCUGACAGAAUUCCAUGAAUUUUGGUGUUUGUCUAUUUCUGCAGGGGGUUAUCAGGAAAUACGGAGGAAAGGCCCACACGUCGGGUUUACAUAGAGAUAUUAAUGUGCCGCACAAUUUUCUAUCAUCUAGAAGACUCCAGAAGCCAUGGGAACGAAGUGGAGGCCGAACGGGGCCUGGCCUAGGGCGCCCGCCCUAAGGACCAGGGCGCCCACCCUCCUAUAGUGUCCAAUUCGGACCCGUCUCGCGGAUCACGCUCCACCGACCUAAAGGAUCAAGGAUAACCGUUCAAUCAAUGUCGGUUUGAUCCGACGGCCCAGAUUUACUUGAGGGGACUAUAUAAGCAGACCCCCUGGCCCCUGGAGAACAUACCUCUUCUACAGAAUCAAAGUUAGAGUUUCAAUUCUUCAUCCAAGUAGAGAGGAUCCCUCUAGUUCAUCUAGUUCUACCUCUAGUUCAUCUAGUUCUAGUUCUAGUUCAUCUAGUUCUAGUUCUAGUUCUAGUUAGUUCUAGUUGUAAUCUAGAAAAUAGGGAGAGAGAAGAGGAGAGCGAAGGAGGAGCAGGAUCUGUCAGAUCUUCCUCAACAUUGUACUUUUGCAGCAACUAGUUCAUUCUUCAUCGUUCUCCAGGUUCUUCAAUUCAUAAUUCCUGAGUUCUUUAAUUACUUUUAUUUACAUUCAAGUUAUUUAUUGGAUUCCCGCUUGCAUCAAGUGCUCUAAUCUUUGCAACAUUAGAGUAGUAAUUAAUAGAUUAGACGUGGUGUUUAGUCUUGCAAUUACCUAGAAUUGCACCCAAUCCUGCAGAUUAUUGUGGUAGCCCUAGGGUAGUGACAGCCCUAACGGUCAACGUAUUCCACCUCGCUCGGAUCGGUGUUUGUAGGACCGUAGUCAGAGCUUCCUAGCCCCCUUCUCAUCUCUUUCCGUGGUUAGUGUUCUGAUGUCCCGAAAUAAAUAAUCUUUGAAGUAAUUCUUGAUUCUUAGAUCAACUAGAGAACUCUCAGGAAACUUCCUCUCUUCCCACCAAAAAUAAUUAUAUAGUUAUCCUUGGGCGAUCUUGAAUCUUAAUUAGUACACUCACGUUCCCUGUGGAAAAUCGAUACUCUAGAAUACUCCCGGGUGAAAGCUACAUCGGUAUCCGUGCACUUGCGGAUUUUUUUGUUUGCGUUUAAAAUACCCAACAACCUCGCCUCACUAUAGCCCCCAGCCUAGACGGAGUCUUGAAUGUUGUUGUCGUUGUUGCCCAAGUGUUGGGCUUGGGGUCGCUAAGGAGAAAGGUCAUGCGUUGUCUUUGAGCAAGGCUUGGCACCCCUGGUCCAAGGCCGAUCAAAGCUAUAGUUGGAGGAUCAGCCACUGCCUCCUUCUAUCGGUGGGGUUCAUGUGUUGGAGUACCCCUCAUUGGUGGCCGACGUCGCUUGGGACGGACAAGGAGCACCACGACACAAAGAGACCAAACUCUUGGCCUGCUGUUCGAGGGCAAUGCGGAGCAACCGCUUCACCUUGUUUAGCCACUCGUCAGCCUUUGGGUCUAGAGUGUCAGAAAUGUUUUCUAGGUGGUAGGCAGCAGCUGCCAUGUUGUAGGUGUUGACGGUAGAUAACUCCUAAUUUUAACCGCCAACUGAACAUGAAAAUGGACCUAUUUGAAAGCACUCAGUAGAUAUAGGGUUAUCACUAAUAGAAUUCGAUGAGUUUUGGUGAAUGUCUAUUUCUGUAGGGUGUCAGCUGAAAACAACCAAAGAUGGUCCACAUGUCAAAUUUACAUAGAAAGAACAUGUGAACUUCAACUCAGGAACAUUCUAGAAGACUCGAGGAGCCACCACCUAAAACCUAGCCCACUUGGAAGCUGGCCAGGGGCGGGCGCCCCUACCAGGUGGGGCAGCCACCCAGAGGUGGGAACCAAUUAGGUUUCACCUCACGGAUCCAGCCUCCACCGACUUUGAGGAUUAAUCGGAGUGCACAUUUAACUCAGUUUGAUCCAAGGGUUGCGGUGCUUCCUAGGGGGCUAUAAAUACAAGCCAAACCCCCCUUGAGGAGCUAAUUCUAAAACCCUAAUUUAUAUUUUCCAUAGAGAAUUAGACAGAGAGGGGUCCCUUGAAUGGAUCUAUCUCUAUAGUGUCAUAGCAACAAGAGAGAUUGAGAGAGUAUAGGGUGAAGAUAAGAGUUGAGGAAGCCCGGCCUAUCGGUGUCUUCUUCUUUGUAUCUUCAGGAUCAAGUCUCCUAACCCGAGGCUUGGUUCUAGAAUUGUUCGACAAUUUGACUUUUAAUACUAGUAAGUUAUUGUUCUUUGGUUUAUGAGUUUACUUUAUUCGCUUCAUGUAGGGAAUAGAGUAAUUAUUCGUAGCGUAAGCAUGGUGCUUGGGCUAGGAAUACUCGUAGAUACUCCCUGUUUGGCUGGAUUUGUGGUAGCUUUAGGGGGAGUGACAAUCCUCUAAGGUCUCUGUAAUCCAUAUCCCGUCAGGAGGUAAGGUAGGGUAUAUGGUGCCACAGUUAAGCACUCUUUGAGGUGUCUUUUUUCUCUAGGUACUCCCCUUAGAACGAUAACCAAACACUUACCAUAGGUUAGAAGAACACUUUCUCUCUAUAUCACUCAUAUCUCACUAUCUUGUCUUGCAGCCCGUGGGUAGUAGGUAAAAUAAGGGUUAGUCGUUUGCACGCUUUCUCCUAGUGGUAAAAAAAUAAACACGAUACUCUAGACUUAUCUCCUGGGUGAAGUGCUCAUCGAUAUCCGUGUACUUGUGGAUUAUUUCUCUUUGAUUCUUUCGUGUGCGUAACUAAUAUCAACAAGCAUUUCUGGCGCCGUUGUCAGGGAGAAAGACGGUCUGCUUAGAUAACCCAGUCUUACUCUACCUUGUAUCAUACUUUUAUCUUUUCUGUUAUCUCACCUUUUCUUACAUCUUAACUUUUCUUUUAUGAAUACCUUAAAUUCUAUUCCUAUCAUUCAGUUCUCUGCACCCAAAGAGACCAGCCUAGAGCCACAUGAGUCAUCACAAUCUAUCCAAACAUGUAGCUAUUGGCUGAGUCUGCAGUUGAUUGAAUUGGUCCAAAGCCUAUCCUUUUUAGGAGAAGGAGGUGAAAAUCCUUACCUACGCAUUAGAGACUUUGAGAAAACAUGUGACUGUCUUCACAUAGAAGGCAUAUCUGAUGAAACUCUCUAUUGGAAGAUAUUUCCUUUUUCAUUAAAGGGAAAAGCUAGACAAUGCUAUAAUAGAGCCGUAGGUAAGCAACAAGGAGAUUGGGGAUCUUUACAUUCUAACUUUUGCCUAGAUUUCUAUCCCAUCUCUCAAAUCAUCGACCUUAGAGUCAAAGUUCUCACUAUAAAGCAAGAAUCUAAAGAAUUAUUUACCUCAGCCUAGAAUUGAUUUAGUACACUUUAGCAUCCGGCCCAGACCUUAGUCUACUAGAUCCUAUUCUUUUACAACAUUUUUAUAAAGGUCUGAGUAGGGAAACUAGAAAGUUGCUUGUCACAACUUCAGGAGGAUCUUUCUUGCAUAUAUCUUUUGAGAAAGCAAGAUUAAUCCUAGAUCAAAUGCUAUGCACUGAAUUAGAUUACCUCUUGGAAGUAGAGCCUUAACCCUAGUUAGCUGAAACCGAUCCUUUGCCAAACACACCAUCUACUUCUGCUAAAACAUGUCUCGAGAAAGAAAAAGAAGAAAUUAUAUUUCCAGAUUUUAUGCUAGACAUACAAUCCAAUCUCUUUUCCGAAUUUGGAAAUGUUUUGAAUUAUCACUCUAUGAAGAGGCUGUUGAUGGGUAUUUUAAACGCAAACAGAAAAAUCCGCAAGCGCACGGAUACCGAUGUAGCUUUCACCCGGGAGUAUUCCAGAGUAUCGAUUUUCCACAGGGAACGUGAGUGUACUAAUUAAGAUUCAAGAUCGCCCAUGGAUAACUAUAUAAUUAUUUUUGGCGAGAAGAGAGGAAGUUUCCUGAGAGUUCUCUAGUUGAUCUAAGAAUCAAGAAUUACUUCAAAGAUUAUUUAUUUCGGGACAUCAGAACACUAACCACAGAAAGAGAUGAGAAUGGGGCUAGGAAGCUCUGACUACGGUCCUACAAACACCGAUCCGAACGAGGUGGAAUACGUCGACCGUUAGGGCUGUCACUACCCUAGGGCUACCACAACAAUCCGCAGGAUUGGGUGCAAUUCUAGGUAAUUGCAAGACUAAACACCACGUCUAAUCUAUUAAUUACUACUCUAGCGUUGCAAAGACUAGAGCACUUGAUGCAAGCAGGAAUCCAAUAAAUAACUUGAAUGUAAAUAAAAGUAAUUAAAGAACUCAGGAAUUAUGAAUUGAAGAACUUGGAGAACGAUGAAGAACGAACCAGUUGCUGCAAAAGUACAAUGUUGAGUAAGAUCCGACAGAUCCGGCUCCUCUUCCGCUCUCCUCUUCUCUCUCCCUAUUUUCUAGAUUACAACUAGAACUAACUAGAACUAGAACUAGAUGAACUAGAACUAGAACUAGAUGAACUAGAAGGAUCCUCUCUACUUGGAUGAAUAAUUGAAACCCUAGCUUUGAUUCUGUAGAAGAGGUAUGUUCUCCAGGGCUAGGGGCCUUGCUUAUAUAGUCUUUUCAAAUGAAUCUGGGCCGUCGGAUCAAACCGACAUUGAUUGAACAGUUAUCCUUGAUCGAUUAGGUCGGUGGAGCAUAAUCCGCGAGGUGGACCCUGAUUAGGCACCAAAGGAUGGCGGGCACCCUGGUCCCUAGGGCGGGCGCCCUGGGCCAGACCCCGUUCUGCCUCUGCUUCAUUCCCGUGGCUUCUGGAGUCUUCUAGAUGAUAGAAAAUUGGGGCACACGUUAAUAUCUCUAUGUAAACACGACGUGUGGGCCUUUCCUCCAUAUUUCCUGAUAACCCCCAGUAGAAAUAGACAAACACCAAAACUCGUGGAAUUCUGUCAGAUAAAACCCUAAGGCUGGGUGUUGGUUGCAUUUGAAUCCUUUUCCAUGAUUAGUUGACGGUUAAAUGUGAGCAUUAAGGACCGUCAACAAGCUCCCCCAAGCUUAACCUUUGCUCGUCCCUGAGCAAAGCUAAAAUCAGCAAGAAAACAUGGGUUACUUUUAUGCCUCUUACUAUAGGAUUUUUAAGUUAUCACUAAGGUCUUAAGUGAUUGAAAAAUAGAACGACCAAGUCAAGCACUAUGUCUCAAGUUCUUCUGUCUUACCUUUGUUCUGGAGUUUUUUUGUAAGUUUCCAAAAUAAAACUUAGACAUUUAUCUUCUUCUUGACAGAUAUAUAAGUAGAGCUUUAAAAGUUUUAGCAUACUUUGCAUUUUGCUAUGUCAAUGCUCGGAGCAAGGGAGAGGAAUGUCAUACUCCUAGAUCAAGACCUUUGACCUUUUUGAAAAGUUUGUCAUCUCUUACUGGUAUAUUGCUUAUUAGAGGGACCAUGGGCUAUUUUUUCUUUCUUUUUUUAGUCUCUCUCUUUUUUUUCAAGUGGGCACCAAGUACCCCUAAUUCUACUGUCGGACACGUGUCCAUUUUUUCCACUCAGGUGGGUAUCUUUGUACCCCUAAUUCUACUUCGGACACUUGUCCAUUUUUACCUCUCAUCUCACUCUUUUUUUUCGAAUCAAAUUUUUGCAUAGUCCCAUGCCUCUAAUGCAAUAAUACUUUGGAAGAGUGAAUCUUUUAUAUUAUGAAAACAAAAUGAUCUUGAUCUUUGGAGCAUGAUAAUUCUCUCAACCAAAACUACAAGAAUUAACAAUGGCUUCUUCUUUUUUAUAUAUAUGAACUUUUAGAUUUUCAAAAGAUAAAAUCUCCGGAACUCUAGCAAAACUUGGAACAAGUUAAAUAGUAGCUCAGACCAUCUCAUAUCAUGUUUGUCAAUUUUCUAAACUCACAUCAAACUUUCUUUUUAUUUUUUUAAAACUUAGGAGUACACAAAACUAUUAUAAAUUACUCAAAAGAAAAACUUUGUUUGGUUUCAUGGUUAUGCAUUUUUUAUUUAUUUCCGAAUACUAGUAAAUAAAACCGAGAAAGAAAAGUAAUACUUAUCUAGAUACACGUGGGGGUGCCUCCCCCAAGCUGGAUGUUGACAUAGUCGUUUACUCUUGUGGCCUGCAUGUUUGGUCUCACUCUUCUUAAGCCUCAAAAUCCCGCACAACCCAAAUAGACAAUAAAACUCGUGGAGCAUGUUAAGGGUUAGGUAAUUGUCUAGAGCUUAUGAGAGCUUAAUGUGAGAAUUCUAUGAACUCAAUCACAUCAAGUUCCUCUACCAGGUUGUUUUGUGGCUCGAGAUAGAUUUUCAAGCGUUGACCAUUUACCUUAAAAGUGUUACCUAUGUCGUCUUGGAUGGUAAUGGCUCCAUGAGUUGAAGUGUCAAUAACCUUGUAUGGUCCAUCCCACUUACUUCGUAGCUUACCAUGCCCAAAGAGCUUAACUCUUGAAUUGAAUAGUAGAACCUUAUCUCCAGGCUUAAACUCCUUGUGCUUGAUUCUCUUAUCAUGCCAUCGUUUUGUUCUCUCUUUAUAGAUCCUUGAAUUGUGGUAGGCUUUUUCUCUCCAUUCUUCUAGCUCAGAUAGUUGCAUCGGACGAUUCUCGCUAGCGAGGUGGAGAUCCAUGUUCCAUUUCUUGAGUGCCCAAUGAGCCUUAAACUCUACUUCCACAGGCAAAUGACAAGUCUUUCCAUAUACAAGUUGAUAAAGUGACAUGCCUAUGGGUGUUUUGAAUGCAGUUUUAUAUGCCCAAAGUGCAUCAGGAAGUUUGUCCUUCCACCCCUUACCCAUCUCAUCUACAGUCUUUUGUAAAAUUUUUUUGAUUUGUUUGUUAGAUGUUUUGGCUUGACCGCUAGUCUGAAGAUGGUAUGGUGUUGCGACGUUGUGUCAAACUCCAUGAUCGGAUAGGUACUUUCGAAAGAUUUUGUCGAUGAAGUGGGAACCUCCAUCGCUUAUAACUAUCCGGGGUAUACCAAAGCGAGGAAAUAUUACUUCAUGGAACAUUCUCUUGGCAUGUUUUGAAUCAGCUGAUCGACAAGGUAGGGCUUCUAUUCAUUUGGACAUGUAGUCCACAGCUACUAAGAUAUACUCGCAAUUCCCGGACAUAGGGAAUGGCCCCAUGAAAUCAAUGCCCCAUACAUCGAAAAGUUCUACUUGAAGAUUAUUUGCUAGAGGCAUUUCAUUUCGUGAGUUGAUGUUCCCAUGUUUUUGACAUCGGUGGCAUCUCCUGACAAAGUUCUUUGUAUCUUCAUACAUCGUUGGCCAGAAAAAGCCACUUUGCCAAAUUUUAGCAUGUGUCCGGAAUGCUCCAUAGUGUCCUCCAUAUGGCGAGGCAUGACAUCUUUCCAUAAUUUGAGUAGCCUCAGCCAUAGGAACACACCUUCUCAAGAGUCCAUCAGUGCAGACUCGGAAAAGAUAUGGCUCAUCCUAAAGGUGGAAAUGACUAUCAUGAAGCAACUUCCUUUUGUUUGUACCAGGUGGGACGUAGCCAUAUACUAUAAAGUUUACGAUGUCUGCGUACCAUGGAUCUGCAUGUGUUAUCUUAAGCAGGGUGUCAUCCCUUAGGUAGUCAUUUAUGGGAAGCUCAUCAUGUGUUUCCUUAUAUUGAAGCCUAGACAAGUGGUCGGCUACAUAAUUCUCUACUCCCUUCCUAUCUCGGAUUUCUAUGUCAAAGUCUUGGAGUAGAAGAAUCCAUCGAAUUAGACGAGGCUUAGCAUCUUUCUUAGUGAGGAGGUAUUUGAGAGCAGCAUGGUCUGAAUAGAUGAUUAUCUUUGCCCCCACAAAGUAAGAUCUAAACUUGUCUAUAGCAAAGACAAUAGCCAAAGCUCUUUUUCAGUUGUAGUGUAAUUGAGCUGUGGUCCAAACAAGGGUUUGCUAGCGUAGGAUAUGGCAUAAUGCUUUUUAUCCUUGGUUUGUCCUAAAACGGCACCAACCGCAAAAUCGCUAGCAUCACACAUGAUCUCAAAAGGAAGAUUCCAAUCAGGUGGUUGGAUGAUUGGGGCUGAGAUGAGUGCUUUCUUAAGAGUUUGAAAAGAUUCAUGACACUCAUCACUAAAGAUGAAAGGUGCAUCCUUAGCUAGGAGACUAGUUAGGGGUCUAGCAAUUUGAGAGAAGUUCUUGAUAAAGCGUCUAUAGAACCCUGUAUGUCCCAAAAAGCUACGGAUUCCUUUCACAUCGUGGGGGGUGGAAGUUUUUCAAUAACUUCAAUCUUUGCUUUGUCCACCUCUAUACCAUGUUCGGACACUUUAUGUCCUAGCACUAUUCCUUCCUGAACCAUAAAAUGACAUUUCUCCCAGUUCAGGAUUAAGUGCUUUUCUUCACAUCACUGCAAGACUCUAUCUAAAUUCUCCAAACAAUGAUCGAAGGUUUUGCCAUAGACAGUAAAAUCAUCCAUGAAAACCUCCAUGAUCUUCUCAAUCAUGUCCGAGAAAAUAGACAUCAUGCAUCGUUGGAAAGAAGCUGGAGCAUUGCACAAUCCGAAUGACAUUCGUCGGUAUGCAUAAGUUCCAUACGGGCAUGUAAAGGUAGUCUUUUCUUGGUCAUCUAGGUGGAUUGGGAUUUGUUGAUAUCCAGAAUAACCAUCAAGGAAAGAAAAGAAAGAGUGGUUUGCAAGCCGUUCCAACAUUUCAUCAAUGAAGGGUAACAGAAAGUGAUCUUUCUUUAUAGCCUUGUUGAGUUUUCAAUAGUCAAUACACAUACGCCACCCAGUGACAAUUCAUUGAGGGAUGAGUUCAUUCUUCUCAUUCCUAAUGACCGUCAUUCCUCCUUUCUUUGGCACUACUUGGACAGGGCUAACCCACUCACUAUGUGGCAUAGGAUAAAUAAUCCCAGCAUGAUAGAGUUUGAGGACCUCUUUCUUAACAACCUCUCGCAUAGCAUAGUUAAGUCUCCGUUGUGGUUCCCUUGAAUGUGUAAAAUUGGGAUCAAUAGGGAUACGAUGAGUGCAGAGAAUGGGACUAAUGCCCGUGAGAUCUUUGAGAGAGUAACCAAAUGCUGAUCUAUGCCUUUCAAGAAUAGUGAGAAGUUGUUGUGUUUCAUAAUCGGAAAGCUUGUCACUGAUAAUUACUGGAGUGUUUGGGUUGUUGUACAAAAAGACAUAUCUAAGGCCAGAAGGAAGAGGUUUUAACUCUAUCAAAGGAGGUGAAGGUUGUUCAUUUUUGUCUAGCUCAACGGGUUCUACCAACUCUUCUUCUUCUUGAACAAAGUGUUCAUGAUUAAAGAAUGGUUGGGCCAUCUCCUCUUGAGUCAGCAUUAAGAUCUCCUCAAUAGGAUCUGGUUCAAGUUUGGGUUCUACUAUCGUGUUAAUUGAUCUAGCAUGAGGAACAACAAUAGUGGAAUUCCCAACCUUGAAGUCUAAAUGACCUCGUUGUGGUUGUUCUUGUAGAAGUUUCAUGAUUGGUCUGCCAAUCAAGAAAGGAAUCUCCAGUAUGUCAAAAAUGUGAAAAUCUAGACAUAUUCCACAGUCCUUGAUUCUAACAGGAACUGCCCUUAAUACCCCAUGGCUUUCUAGAAUUAAUCUAGAUGGACUUUGUAAAAGUUUUUGAGAUGGGGUUAUGGACUCGUUGGGAUAAAGAGUGUCAGCUAACUCCUUGGAAUUAACAUUUAUCCCAACAUAUGGAUUGUAGUGGACCUUCCUAGCGGACCCUCUAAUUUGGCACAGAAGAAUGGUUGAAGGAGUGAUGAUUCGAGCUACCUUAGGAGACAGCUCUGCUUCUGUUAGCCAUUCAUAACUCAGAAUAGCUGAAAGGCUUUUGAUGUGUUUUAUGUCAACAGAUUCUACUCUUAGAACGGAUUGAGUGGUCCCUGCUAGAGGUCGUAUUUGGAUAGGAAAAUUUGAGGUGUUUCCAUAAUCUUCAAAAAGAUCUUCCUCGAAUUCAAAGGGAUGCUCUAAAGGUGGUGGUUCAUUAUCCCUUAGUUGGUUUUGCAUUACCUUAUCAGGAGGUUUCUCUACAACCAAAUUAAUAGAUGGGUCAGGUGGAAUUUCUAACUCGGUUGCAUGUUCCUCAUCUUUUGGUUUAGGAUCAGGCUCGACUUCUUUUUCUUCUUCAGAAAACUCAUCAUAAAUGCCUGUGUGAGGGGUAUUUUCAAGGAUUCUCUCUAGGAUAGCUCUCCCCUCAUCUGUGAGUUUGUGUGUGAAUGAGCCUCCGAAAGCAAUGUCGAGGUGAAGAGCAGCUUCCUUAUUUAGACCACGAUAAAAGUGGUAGUACAAUACAUGGUUAGGCAGGGCAAGGUUCGGACCGGAAUUGCUAAGGCUUGUGAACCUUGCCCAAGCUGCUCCUAAAGUUUCUUUCUCUCUUUGUUUGAAUGUAAGAAUUUCAAUUCUAAGGUCAGCGAUUCGAAAAAGUGGGAAGAAAGCGAGACAAAAGUUGUCCCGAAGUUCAUCCCAAUUUCCAUUAACGCCUCCUACAGAAUGAUCAUACCACUUUUUUGCUCUUCCCAAAAGGGAGAACGGAAAUAAUUUCCAUUUAAGGGUUUCUUGUGUCAUGCCGGAAAUAGAUCGGCAAGAGCACAACUGCUCGAAUUCUCUAAGGUGGGUGUAUGGAUCUUCAUCUACUUGCCCAGAGAAGGGUUGCUCCUGAAUCAUGGCUAUUAGAUCAGGGCCGAGGUCGUAGCCAUCUGUAAGAAUUGGAUGUGAUGAUGGUGGUGGCUCUAAUAACUCGCCCUUUGGAGCAAAGAAUUUAUAGAUAGGAGUGAAAUCCAUGUGGUAUGGUGAAAAUGGUAAGGUGAGUGUGGUAAAAAGAAAAUGGAUACACGGAUGACUUGGUUUGAAACUAGCACAACUACCGUUCCCCGGCAAAGGCGCCAGAAAGCUUGUAGGGUAUUUUAAACGCAAACAGAAAAAUCCGCAAGCGCAUGGAUAUCGAUGUAGCUUUCACCUGGGAGUAUUCUAGAGUAUCGAUUUUCCACAGGGAACGUGAGUGUACUAAUUAAGAUUCAAGGUCACCCAAGGAUAACUAUAUAAUUAUUUUUGGUGAGAAGAGAGGAAGUUUCCUGAGAGUUCUUUAGUUGAUCUAAGAAUCAACAAUUACUUCAAAGAUUAUUUAUUUCGGGACAUCAGAACACUAACCACAGAAAGAGAUGAGAAGGGGGCUAGGAAGCUCUGACUACGGUCCUACAAACACCGAUCCGAACGAGGUGGAAUACGUCGACCGUUAGGGCUCUCACUACCCUAGGGCUACCACAACAAUCCGCAGGAUUGGGUGCAAUUCCAGGUAAUUGUAAGACUAAACACCACAUCUAAUCUAUUAAUUACUACUCUAGCGUUGCAAAGACUACAACACUUGAUGCAAGCGGGAAUCCAAUAAAUAACUUGAAUGUAAAUAAAAGUAAUUAAAGAACUCAGGAAUUAUGAAUUGAAGAACUUGAAGAACGAUGAAGAACGAACUAGUUGCUGCAAAAGUACAAUGUUGAGGAAGAUCCGACAGAUCCGGCUCCUCAUCCGCUCUCCUCUUCUCUCUCCCUAUUUUCUAGAUUACAACUAGAACUAACUAGAACUAGAACUAGAACUAGAUGAACUAGAACUAGAACUAGAACUAGAUGAACGAGAGGGAUCCUCUCUACUUGGAUGAAUAAUUGAAACCCUAGCUUUGAUUCUGUAGAAGAUGUAUGUUCUCCAGGGGCUAGGGGCCUUGCUUAUAUAGUCUUUUCAAAUGAAUCUGGGCUGUCAGAUCAGACUGACAUUGAUUGAAUGGUUAUCCUUGAUCCAUUAGAUCGGUGGAGCAUAAUCCACGAGGCGGACCCUGAUUGGGCACGGGCGGCUUGGUCCCUAGGGCGGGCGCCCUGGGCCAGACCCCGUUCUGCCUCCGCUUCGUUCCCGUGGCUUCUGGAGUCUUCUAGAUGAUAGAAAAUUAGCGCACACAUUAAUAUCUCUAUGUAAACCCGACGUGUGGGCCUUUCCUCCAUAUCUCCUGAUAAUCCCCUGCAGAAAUAGAUAAACACCAAAACUCGUAGAAUUCUGUCAGAUAAAACCCUAAGUCUGGGUGUUGGUUGCAUUUGAAUCCUUUUCCAUGAUUAGUUGACGGUUAAAUGUGAGCAUUAAGGACCGUCAACAUCUACUUGUUUAUAUUUGCAAUUAUAUUGUUCUUAGUUUAUCAUAGUUAUAUGCUUGGCUUAGUUAGAUUGGAAUUAUAUACAUGUUUAGGAUCGUAUAGCGUUUAUCCAUGUGUACAGUGGGUAAAUGAUAAGUAUUGUGUAGGCGUGGUGCCUAUACCGUAUUUAUCUGCGAUUGUACCCUAUAUGCCAGACCGCUGGGUAGUUCGUGGUAGUGAGAGCUCCAUUGAUUCUUAUGUAGUCCCCCUCUCAUGUAUAGGGCUGGCAGAGCAACAUUAUUACAGGGGAGUUAUUGCUAUGUUUCUCAUAUUCCUUGAUAAUAUCACUAUGCAUGGGCGUAGUCCUGUCUCGCAAUGAUUCCCAAGUAUAAUUGCACUAACUAUGAUAUGCUAGACUUUAUAGUUAAGAAUAACUUAGGAAAUAUUCCUCUAGUUCGUCCUAAUUCCAUGCUAAUGACUUACUAGAAUAUCUAUUGAGGUGCUUAUCAUUAUUAUAUGUGGCUAAGUUAUGCUGAUCAGAUUAAUUAUCUUGUCACCAUUCAUAUUUUAUCUAUAUCUUAUGUGACACUUAUCCCUAUAUGAAAGAGAUAGAUAAGUGCUCUCAAUUAUACAAGCAAUGAUAGAUACUAAAUUCUAUAUUCCAUUCCAUAAUCAACAUUGAUGAUUAGAAAUCCUUUCUCAGUGGUAAAAAUAUAAAUAACGAUACCUAGAAUACUUCCCGGUUAAAAUGCUACAUCGGUAUUAAUCUGUGCGCUUGCAGAUCUCAUUUAUUAUUUAUUUAGAAGAGCAAUUGCAUAUUUCAAUACCGCGUCUCCCAUGUCAUGCUGGGGAUGAAAACUUGGCUUAAGUGGCAUGAGGGAUAGGUUUGGCAUUUUUGGCGCCAUUAUCAGAAAUAGAAAACUAAGUCUAAUUUUGGUAAUGACGUUAAGAAUGCCCAACAAGCAUUUUUGGCACUGUUGCUGGGGAAGGUUGAUUACUAACUAGGAAUGAAUAUGGAAUUUCGAGUCAUCAUUCGCAUCACUAAUAUGAUUGAGAUUAUCAAUUCUCUCAUACAGUUUUACCCCGAUAUUUUUCUAUUUUACUUUAUGCAGGGUGAUGUAUGAAUAGAAGACAUCUUCUAGGAAAUUUUGUUGACAACCCCAAAGCAUUAUUCAGAAAAUCAAGAGCCAAGCUCAAGAAGGCAUCGUCAACACUUCAGCACGAAGCUUCAUCCAAUCAAAAAGAUCGCCGAAGUUUUACCCGGAACUUGUCUUCAGAAUUCGAAGUCAUGGCGAAUAAAUCAAUCCGUGAGUUCUCAGCUCUCAUUACGGACAACAUCCGUGCUGGACAUGCUAUAGAGAUCGACGGCAACUUUGAGCUCAAGCCUGGACUUAUCAACAUGGUGCAAUCCAACCAGUUCUGUGGGAAGGCACACGAAGAUGCUAGUGCUCAUCUCUAACACUUCCUAGAGAUUUGCAGCACAUUCACCAUAUCAGGAGUCCCUAGAGAUGCUAUACUACUUCGCCUCUUCCCAUUCUCACUGUUAGGGAGAGUGAAGCAGUGGUUCUACGCUACAAAGGAGAAGAAUACUACAUGGGCACUCUGCUCCACGAACUUUCUGGCUAAGUUCUUUCCCAUGGGAAAGACCAAUACUCUUCGUGGGAAAAUUACAAGUUUACAGCAACAACAUGAUGAAUCCGUUCCAAAAGCAUGGGAGUGCUUCCAAGGCUACAUCCUAGAAUGUCCCAUCAUGGAAUGGAAAGCUGGCUACUGAUGCCGAUGUUUUAUCAUGGGCUCGGCAAUAGUGCCUGAGAGACCAUGGAUGCUGCAACUGGAGGAGCAUUCCUAUCACUCACCAUAUCACAAGCCACAGCUCUUAUGGAGAAGAUGGCGUCCAACCUAGGCUGGAAUGAAGAAAGGACCCAGACACGCAAGAGAGGUGGAGGUAUGCAUCAGCUCAAGGAGGUAGACAUGCUGUUUGCGAAUCUAGACCUGCUCAUGAAGAAGCUCGAUGAUAAAGCUGGAGAUAAGAAGGAAGUUAUGCACUCUCACAUGACUUGUGAGGAGUGUGGAGAUACUGGACACUCAGGUAAUCGCUGCCCUAAGAUACUUGAGGAUGUGAACUACAUCAACAACAACAACUACUACUACUACUACAACCGUCCUCAGCAAAAUCAAGGUUGGAAUCAACAGAGGCCUAACUACUCAGGUAAUUAUAAAGGUAACAGUUCUUACAAUAAUAAUAAUUUUCCACCUGUGAGAGAGUUAGUGUCUAAUCAAGGAAAGCUAAUGGAUAACCUAUCUAAGAAAUUGGCAUCUAAUGAUAAAAUAUUAGAAAAUAUAAAUAAUAGAAUGGAUAAUUUCUCUACUGCCAUCAAGAAUCAAAUUAGCUUUAAUAAAAUGAUUGAAUCUUAGUUAAAUCAAAUAGCUGCUGUUGUUCCUACUACUAACCCCGGUAUACCAUCACAACCAGAAGGAUUAGAAUAUGCAAAUCUUGUAGACAUGAUUGAUACAGGUAACAACUAGAGUAACCCCAUUGCAGAAGUUACUACUGACCUUCUGCUGGUCAAGAGAGGCGAUCCAGGACGCCCCGUCAUUCCGAUCUCCAUUGGCAUGGUGGACUUCCCAGAAGCACUCUGCGACUUUGGCUCUAGUGUCAACAUUAUGCCCAGGGUACUCUAAGAAAAAUUCUUUACAUAUCCUUUACUAGAAACAACCAUGUGUUUGUAGUUUGCAGAUUAGGCAUUAAGUUUCCCAAAGGGAAUAUUGAAGAACCUCUGUGUCCGAGUUGGUACCUUAUACGCCCCAGCAGACUUCGAGGUGAUAGAGACCGGUAAUGAUGAGAAGGCACCCGUCAUCUUAGGGAGGCCAUUCCUGAACACCUCGGGAGCUGUCAUCUACGCUAGUGCUGCCAAGAUCAGUUUCUACAUCAAGGGAAGGAAGGAGACGUUUUCCUUCAAGAACAAGACUACACAAAUCCUAGAGCAAUCCCGACAUGAACCAAAGAAGAGGACCAACAGGUGGAACAGGAACAAGCAAGUGUGGACCGAGUCAGCUAAGAUGGUCACUGCAGUUCAUGGAGGUCAAGAUCAUUGAAUUAAGUCACCAUUUCUGACCAAGAAGGACGACCUAGGUAUGCCAAGCAUCCACUGCUCCAUUAAUGGAUACAACUUCUACGAGACGAUUUGCGACACCAGAUCGGGCGUCAACAUAAUGGCCGCAGUCACCUAUCAGCUCCGGUUCGGAACCAUGCCCCUAAAACCGACAUACAUUCAGCUCCAGAUGGCAGAUCAGACAUUCCGAGAGGUUGAAGGUAUAGUAACUGAUGUCCCUGUCAAAAUAGACGAUCAUUUUGUCCAUACAGACUUUCAGGUUAUUGACAUGGGAGAAGACGAGUACGAUCCACCCAUCAUCCUUGGGAGACCGUUCCUCAGCACCGUUAAAGCGAUCAUCUACAUUGGAACUGGAGAAGUCCACAUGCACUUCCCCUCAGAGAAGGUACGACACUAUUUUACUGACCCUAAUUAUAUAGUUGAAGACUCUAAGCAGGUCAGGACAAGAAGAAGAUGUCGCAACCGCAACUAGAGGAGGCAAAUCAUCAAGGACGGAUGGGCAAACUACGAAGGAGAAGUGGUAAGGUCUGAAGACAUACAGCUUGAACAGAAUUAUCCAGUGGAGACCGUAGCACCGAGUCACGUGUGGAGAGAGAAGAUAGAUAUACACGAAGAGGAGGCGCCACCGAAAGCACCGACUACGCCAUCCGACGAAACCCAGGACAACUGAGAAAACGGAGAGUCCUGUGCGGAGGACUUAAAAACACCGAACGCCUUGCAAAGAGGUAAACUUGGUAGUUAUUCUUUUCCUUUCAAUUAUUUCAAAUAGUUUGUUUAGUUAAUCAUGUUCAUACUAUCCUAAAAAGAAAAUAAAAAUGUUAAAAAAAUAGAAAGCUCCAUGUGAGUAUACGAGUGGCAUAAAACCCAUAAGUACAUUCACUGUGGUGGCAUAAAUAUAAAAUAAAUAUUUUUCUGCUCUAUAAAAAUGAAAACAUAAAAAUAAGAUUGUGAUCCUACCAAAGAGAGUAACAUUUAUUGAGGAGGCUCAACAUGAUAAAGGCUAGAUAUUUAUGCUAACACUUAAUCAGUUCCACAAAGCUUUGUUGUCUAUUUGAGCUUUAUAGAAUUCAUGGAUCAAGAAGACUAGCAGACGGAGGACAUUCUAAUCGCUGUCAGGGUACUGCUGACUUUCAAAUACACCUCUGCCACCUCCUAGCUACAUCAGAAGAAAUUACGUCAAAAUUCAGCUUGGGGGAGAGCACCCCAUUUUAUCCCGCUAAGUAUUUCUAUCUAUCUACAUUUAUACUUAUACUUAUAUAUAUACAUAAACAUAAAAAAUCAAAUAAAGAUUUUGUGCUUAUAUAAAUAUAUGUCUUUUCCUUAGUGUGCUUAAUAAAUAAAUAAAGUGGCUAUGCUAAACUGAAUCUUAAUAAUAAAACUCUAGCAUGGAUAUGAUGAAUAGUUGCUCUGUCUAAUUUUCAAAUUUGAAGUUUUCUCUCAAGUUUAGACAAAAGCGUUAUAAUUUAAAGCUUGCUCUAAAACCUGAACUUGUGGGAAGAGAACUUGAUCUAAAGUCUAAGUUGUUAACGGACAUGAUAUGGGAAGGUUGAGCUGCUGUUUAUCUGUUCCUAGAGAUGCUAGAAAUCUGGAGAAUUUUAUCUUUGAAAAUCUUUAAAAUAACACAGGAUGAGUUCCUGUAUGAUGAGAGUUUAAAUUCCUACCACAACCAUAUAUACAUGCUUGCUAGACUUUGAGCCACACAUUUACUUUUUACUGCUUAUGAGCAUUGAGUGUGGUCAAGCUGUGUAGACCCUUAGGAGCUUGUCAUGUGGUUAAAUCAAGAUUCACUUGCACGUUCACUCACACAUGCUGCUUCUACUCCGGAAGUACGCAUCCACAUAUAUCCACCUAUUUCCAUUUCCAGAACCACCCAAAAAUAUUCUACUCCUGAUCCGGGAGAGAAUAGCCAAAAACAUUUCUGUUUUUCCCUGUGAAAUAAAUGCUCAAGUUAUCUUGGUUACUACCACUUGCUAUAUUAUUUCAGGAGAUGAGUGCUCUAAAAAAAAGAAAAAAAAAGAAAGAGGAUACGAUGAAAUAAAAAGGGGCAAGUGCCCGGAACCUCGAAAGAAAAGAAAAAGUGAGAUGAGAGGUAAAAAUGGACAAGUGUCCGACAGUAGAAUUAGGGGUGCAAUACCCACCUAAGAGCAAAAAAAAAGAAAAUAUAGAGCAUCUCAUUCUCCUCAAAGUUUCAAAAGAGCAAGGAAGGUAUGUAUCCCCUCAAAAGAGCAAAAAUAGAAUGACUUUCACCAUUGUUAUCACCAUCAUCACCAUACACCAUUCAUUCGCCACACAUGCACAUCUUGAUUGGACUUAUUGACUUGUUUCUUUGGAUCCAUGGUUUGACUAUGCAAUAAAUGUGUUGUAAGUAUGUAUACUUUAUCUCCCACCUAUGAGCUCUAGAUAUCAAAAGCCUUAUUAGAGUAGGAUGAGAGAGAAGGCAAUAUCACUAUGCCUCAUACCACAAAUACUACAUAUUUUGAGAGAAGGCAUAUACCAUCACUGCCUUGGUAAGGAUCUAGAAAUACCACAAAAGAGAGAUCUGAGAGAGUCAUACAAGGAAUCUCGGAGUUUUAUUUGAAAAUCUGCAAAAACUCCAGAGCUAUAGCAAAUCAAGAAUAAGAGACAUGGCACUUGACUAGACCGUUCUCUCUUUUAACUGCUCAAGACAGAAGUGACGG